Long non-coding RNA from Cyprinus carpio (common carp), 1858 nucleotides. RefSeq lists it as uncharacterized. The record is from RefSeq and is a predicted model, not a curated record. Lineage: Eukaryota; Metazoa; Chordata; Actinopteri; Cypriniformes; Cyprinidae. The transcript is spliced from 2 exons.
UCAGAAUACUUUUUGUAUAUUUUUAACUAUUUUUAGUACAUUAUGCAAUAUCUACAAUUAGAGAAAAGCAAAAAUCCUUCACAAAAAAAACAACAACAAAAAAUCUGUCAAAUGAGGGAAAAAAAUCUAGCUGUAAAAAAACAUACUGUAAAGAUAUAAGCCGUCAGUUCUGUGUUAUUGUGUAAUCUUGGGUAACAAUUAUAAAAACAAUGCCAAUGUUCACAUAUUGAAAUGUGAAAAGAAGAAAAAGAGGGCCUCGCUUUACCCUGGCUUGGAUAGGAGGAUAAUAUAUUUUUGAGGCUCAAAGGUGCUCUGCUCGCUUGGCAGCCCAGUCAGACAUGAACGAGCAGGGCCAGAGGGGCUGUGUUCUCUCUGCGUCUCCCAGCCCGACGGACAGCACCACCACAGUGCUGAGCACAGGAUGCCAGCACUGUCUUCUGGCACUUCCCGGGGCUUGUGCCGACUCAGCGUGGUCACAGACUUACUCAGCAGCCACACCUUUACAGCAGACUCACUCACACAGAAAACACUCACACACGCAUCCAUAACAGCACACGCUCCAAGAUCCUGGCCUGUUCCACUCGUCACCGGCUGACGGCUGCACUCCAGCGCGAGCGAUGCUAAUUAAAGUCCACCCACAGUAUGAUUCACUGGGCACUGAGGUACCGAAUGGAGCUACACAGAGAAAUAUUAGUGCCUCUGUACCUCCUUCCUCUGUUUGGCUCUCUUAAUAUAAUUAUUUCAAGACAAAUACUUACCUCACUUGUCAAAACAUUAAUUACAGCACAGGUCAGGUGAGGAAAUGACAGAAACAUCAUCUGCGGGUCUGGUGAAGUUUUGCAAGGAAUCCAGAAGAUGGCAACCUAUCUCUGAUGCACAUGUCUGAUAGACCUAUUUAGGUAUUUAUUAAAGCAUCAGUCAUCGUUUUCCAAGUUUUAUGGCGAUACUGGAGGGUGAUGCUCAGGUAAACAUUGCUAAUAAUGUUACCUAGAACCUCAUAAAAUAAUUUCUUUGAUCGACUUCUUUCAGAAGGCUCACGGGUACAUCUCUACUUGACAGGUAGAGUGCACUGAAAUCUUCCUUCAUACAUGUUUAAAUGCUAAAAUAGCCUUAGGAUUAACUUCAUAAUAUCUAAAUAAAGACUGCCUAGUGCUAGUAUUAUUAAAAACUGAAUGCUAAAGCAGUUCCAGAUUUAUCAUGGUAAACAACUUAACAUUUGAUAUCAACAGAGAUCUGCCUGCUCAUGUUUAGCUUAUUCCAUGAGCGGCGUGAACAUGCAAUCAUAACGCAUUGGCCGUCCAGGGAAUUGAGAGAUUACUGGCCAGAUAAAAGCUGCUUGCUGAUGUGAACUUGAACCAGAUUGAAAGAAUCGAAUAGGAGACCUCCACCGGUCACUGGUUACUUCUCCAAUAAACCGUUUCCAAGUCAAAGAUGUAAUCGUCAGAAGAGAGUGCAAAGAAAAAGGCACUGAGCAUUGAGCCAAGAGAAGGACGGUGACUUUGCUCUACACUGUUGAAUAGCCACUUGGGAUCGCAGGCCGAGUGAAACGCAACACCAUAAGACUUGACCAAAUUAGAAUGAAGAUUUACUCUGCUGGAGUCUCUUUGCAUCAAGACACUCUGGAUUAAAAGCACGCUGGAGAUGCAGCCCACCAGGGAUGGAGUGCUAGAGGGAAAGCAGCGCUCAUUAAAAUACACUCGAGGACAACAUUGAGCAGAAAACAAAAGAAUUAGAAAUAGAUGGUCCUGUUUAAAAAAGACUAGCUCAGACCACCACAAAUUCCAGGGCUUUUGCAGCUGGUGAACUAGAAUAGCCAGCCUGUUAAUCAGGAAAAUAUUAAAUAAAAUGUAAAAAUAUA